This 605-nucleotide long non-coding RNA is filed under the name Marmota monax (woodchuck). The record is from RNAcentral. Lineage: Eukaryota; Metazoa; Chordata; Mammalia; Rodentia; Sciuridae.
UAUUCAGCUUUGAUUAAAAGUUACAGAUGGUAGAGUAUUUGCCUAGUUUGUGUAUGCCAUGCAUUCAUUCCCAACACAACAAAAGAAAAAAAAUUAUAGAACAAAACAAUAUUUUUAAAAUGCAGCUUUUGAAAAGAUGCAUGAUGUGAAUAAGACAUACUUUGAUUAAUGACAAGUCUGUUGUAGUUACAAGGAUAGGGUUUCCAUGGCUGUUUCUCUUGUAAAAUUGAAACCAUCCACAGAUAAUCUUUUAGCAACACCAGGAUAUAGAAGUAUUAUGUAACUUGCCUCAAAGGUGACAUGAACAAGAUUCAGAAGUGCAGCCACUCCCGUUCUUAUGAGCCACUCAUGAUAGAUGUCAUCUUUUGCUAUAACCUUUGCCUAAAUUGGAGAAAAGGUGGAUUUAAUGAGACAAAUGAAAAGUUUAAGAUAACACAGCAAAGCACUAUAUGCCAUUAUGCUUUGGUGUUUAUUUCCUGGCAGCUGUCCCUCAUAGAUUCUGGGAUAAUUUUGAAAAACUGGAGCCUUUUACUAAUUGUGAUAUUAAAACUUAUUCUUGAUAUAAAAGUACAUUGAACUGGGUAUUGGACUUUGAUUAAAAGUUU